AGGAGAGCUGACCUGAGCUGACCAAAGGGACACCCCACACCAUGGAGUGCCAUGUCCAGUGCAGAAACUGGGGAAUUGAUCAGGAGCUGCCUGGGGACAGGCUGGGCACUGGCCAGUGCAUGCUACACUAUGAAUUUAUGGGAUGGAAAGGACAAGAAUGUGGCUUUCAGAAGCUAUUUUAGGAUGACCUGUGAAAAGGAUUGCCAUCAGUCCAUGGCAUGUGGUUCAUAUCAGAAUGUAGAGAAGGAUACAGCCUCUUUCACUAACCUUGGUCAAGGUACUAAUUCAUACAAUGACCAAAUGGAAGGAACUUGGAGUUGCACAGCAGGAAGUCCAAAGAUCUCCAUUUCAGCUGCAUCCUGUUAUACCUGUAUGCAGUGCCAGAGCUGAACGCACCAACUCCAAAGCUUUGGAAAACAAGUUUGCCACCAGCUCAGCGAUGCUAAAAGUGCCAGGGUAACCAUUCUGCUCAGCUUGUUGCCACCAUCUGGAACUAAGCAAAUUUUCUAACUCUGUUUUCAGCUUCGAUAACUAGAUAAGUUGUGACAGAGUUGGGGUGGAUUGUGCAGCCACUCAAAGCCAAAGACUGGAAUUCUUCAUAGAACACAAAAACAAACUCCACUGUAUUUAAUUAGCAGGAAACCCACACUUUUUUCCUCGAUAAAAAGAUGCAGAUUUGCAAACAUAAGUGACUUGAUUUUUUAAAAUUUGCAUUUAUUAGACAAGGAUGGAAAUCCAUUGACCUGGUGAGAGAGUUUGUGUGUUUUAAGGGAUGGUGAGAAUACAACCCCUGUGGCUGCCACUACUGCUUUUAUUUAAACUGCUCUCAUACCUAUUGCACUUCUGAAUUUGCUUCUCAGCCUACAGAACACACACAAGUUUUGGUGCCUGAAUAUUGAGAAAACAUGUAGAUACAGAAGGACAAAAGCUAUCAAAAAGGCUGUUAAGAAAAAAUAAAAAUUACCAGCAAGGUCUUAGCAGAAGCAAAUCUCUUUUGGACCAGACUUCAUGCGGUGAGUACUGAGAAACUUAUAUAAUUGGACUGACAGUUUGUUGGUUUCUUUUCCAGCAUCUGGUUGUCACUUGAACUACAAUGCAGCUCCAAUUAUAUUUUAUAGGGAGCAAUUUCAUUUUUAUAGUUUAGGAAUCCUUUGGAAUUAGUUUGUGAAAAGAAAUAAAAUAUUAAAAAAAAAAAGAAAAGAAGAAAAAGAAAAAGAAGAAAAAGAUUGGCUGGCCUCAGAGCUUCUAAAGAGAAAGUGAUAUCAGAAAUCCUAACCCAGACUGGCUGCUUAUAAUAGCUGCUACUGAAACUGUUAAUUCAAAGCAGUGCCCUGAAAUAUCUAUCAGUCUUGUCCUCCCUGCCCAUUUAAGGGGAAAGAAUGAAAUCCCAACAAAUUAUUGGGGAACAGUCCAAAAGUCUCAUCUCUCCUCUCUGCACAAGCUAGUAUGCUUCAGGAACAAAGACCUCAAAUGACAAAAUGACUCCUUCUUUUUCUCUUCUAAGUAAAUCCAUCCUCUUGGUGCUGGAAUUAAGGACAAAAAUAUUGUCCUUCAUCCUGAAUGCAGCACAACCCCUCUGAUCUCUUGCUUACAGAAGAUGGAUGUCCAACUUCUACAGAGCAGCAAAAUUAAUAACACUCUGUGUUUGUGGAGAGUAACCUAUCUUUCCAGCCUCAGAUACCCAGCAGCUCUCCUCAGUGAAAGUUUGGGAAAUUUCAUCUUUGGGAGACUGCAGUACACAGGCUUUUCUUAGAGAUGGUCUUUGCUUCAAGAGCUGAUUCCUGACAGUAGCUUUAGUCUGUACAACAGCAUUUCCUGGUGCACGCUAUUCUGACCUGAGUUUAUUUUAUACAGCACAGCAAUUUACAGUGGCCUUUUACCUAAGCAAGGCAGCAGUGGGGAGGUGGGUUGGGCAGGAGGAGGUGCAACAGUGACAGGAAGAUGCAGGGCAAUUCAGUAGCUCCUUUUUCUGCUGUCAGCAGUGAGACAGGGACAGUAAGUUACAGCCUGAAUGUCACCAAGCACCACUGACCCCUGCCAAGCUGAAUUACCUUCCAGGGUAACCUUCAGUUCUAUUCUAGCUAAUAAAAUGAUAUUUUUGGAAUGUACAAGGAAAAGGUGUUGAUGCAAAUAUGCCAUAGAGAUCCUGUGAUUAAACAAGAUGCUGAGUAUGAGUUUGUGCAGGUCUCCUAACUCACGUGCAGCUUCACACAUCUUUUGGAUAUCCUGCUUUUGGAGGCAAAAAAGAAUAAGAAGAAUAAGACUCUCCCCUACACUACACUGACACGACACAAAAACAAGUAUCUGUACAUCAGGUUUGUUAUACCAUGGAAAUUGUUAUGCUAUGGAAGCAUUUUCUAUUUGUGUUCUCAUAUCUAGUUGCCUGCUCGUCUAUAAAAAAAUGCCUACACUAUCACAUUUAUGUCCUUCUUGCAUCUAGGGAGCCAGCAUUAGAGGAUACAUAAAUCAUGACAUGGUCCAGUAGUCUAUUAAUUUGGAGGAAGGAAAGGAAAUUUAUUUAAUUAUGCAAGUGGCAUACUACACUGCUGUUACACAGUCAAGUGGCAGUUUUUGUAUUAACUAUUCAGAUUCAAAUGCUUCUGAAUUGUAACAGAAAGCACAUUUCCACUAGGCCUUCAUACUGUCUUGUCAUAGACAAAUCAGAAAAAAAUCAGGCUCUUGUUUUCUUUACCAUAUAACCUAGGACAGGUACCAGUCUUUUCCUCCAUUCACUCAGAACCACAGCCAAAUCAGUGGCCUUUUAGAUGACUUUACCUGUAUUUUUAUUUAUAGCUUCAACCUUUUCAUGGCAGAUGCUCACAAAUAAUAAGCCUGUUCUAAUAGCACAAUACAGCUUUAGAGUUUUAAAUAAAGAAUAGUCCCAUUGACUCUGAGAGCUUUCCACUCCUUUAAAUCUGAAGCAAGACAGACCGAAAUAUGUUCCUUCAUGUGCAGGCUGUGGUUAAUUAUCAGAGAUGCAUAUGUAUUUGUCUAAGAAUAUUAUUUAGUCUUUACCAUUUACAGUAAUGUUUUGAGAAGUAAGAGCCUGAUUCAUCCCUGUGCAAGCUCU
Long non-coding RNA from Zonotrichia leucophrys gambelii, 3070 nucleotides. RefSeq lists it as uncharacterized. The record is from RefSeq and is a predicted model, not a curated record. NCBI's taxonomy places the organism in Eukaryota, Metazoa, Chordata, Aves, Passeriformes, Passerellidae. The transcript is spliced from 3 exons.